This 521-nucleotide ribosomal RNA is filed under the name uncultured Bacillota bacterium. RNAcentral describes it as "bacterial SSU rRNA". It matches the Rfam family "Bacterial small subunit ribosomal RNA", at positions 380 to 916 of the family's 1533-position model. Lineage: Bacteria; Bacillati; Bacillota. The record is from RNAcentral.
AGCCUGACGGAGCAAUGCCGCGUGAGCGAAGAAGGCCUUCGGGUCGUAAAGCUCUGUACAGGGGGAAGAACAAAUGACGGUACCCCUAUAAUAGCCCCGGCUAACUACGUGCCAGCAGCCGCGGUAACACGUAGGGGGCAAGCGUUGUCCGGAAUUACUGGGCGUAAAGCGCGCGUAGGCGGCUUCGCAAGUCAGUGGUGAAAACCGGCGGCUCAACCGCAGGCUUGCCAUUGAAACUGCGAGGCUUGAGGACAGGAGAGGGGAGUGGAAUUCCCAGUGUAGCGGUGAAAUGCGUAGAUAUUGGGAGGAACACCAGUGGCGAAGGCGGCUCCCUGGCCUGCUUCUGACGCUGAGGCGCGAAAGCGUGGGGAUCAAACAGGAUUAGAUACCCUGGUAGUCCACGCCGUAAACGAUGGGUGCUAGGUGUUGGUGGUGUAGAAUCCACCAGUGCCGUAGUUAACGCGAUAAGCACCCCGCCUGGGGAGUACGGUCGCAAGACUGAAACUCAAAGGAAUUGACGG